Molecule: ribosomal RNA, 374 nt
Filed under: Fuligo aurea
Lineage: Eukaryota; Evosea; Eumycetozoa; Physariida; Physaraceae
Description: SSU rRNA
Rfam family: Bacterial small subunit ribosomal RNA
Source: RNAcentral
GCGUAAAGGGUACGUAGACGAUUGAUUGACAAUAUAGUAAAAGACGGAAGAAGAACUUCUUUAAUCUAUAUUCACUGAUCAUUUUGAGUCAAUAGGCGGAAUUCAGAAUACUUGAAGGAGAGGUAAAAUUCGUUGAUAUAGGUAAACUUUCAGAGGCGAAAGCAUUUUCCGAUGUUGGUCUGACGUUAGGUACGAAAGCUUGGGGAGAAAGAGGAUUAGAGACCUCGUAGUCCAUGCCUUAAACAAUGAGUGUUCAACGUCUUAGAAGUUAUCAAUAUAACUUCUUGGGGGUUUACAGCUAACGCGUGAAACACCGCCUGGGGAAUGUGGCCGCAAGGUUAAACUCAAAGGAAUUGACGGAGGCUCAUACAAGG